This 385-nucleotide unclassified non-coding RNA is filed under the name uncultured Phycisphaeraceae bacterium. RNAcentral's name for it is "contains 16S-23S intergenic spacer region". Lineage: Bacteria; Pseudomonadati; Planctomycetota; Phycisphaerae; Phycisphaerales; Phycisphaeraceae. The record is from RNAcentral.
UCCGGUUUGACACCGGCAGUCUCGCUAGAGUACACGGCAUGACCCGUGAGUAACUAGCGAUAGGGGUUGCGCUCGUUAAGGGACUUAACCCGACACUUCACAGCACGAGCUGACGACAGCCAUGCAGCACCUGUGCUCGUUCCACCCUUGCGGGUGUGGCCCCUGUUUCCAGGGGUUAAUCCGAGCAUGUCAAGCCUAGGUAAGGUUCUUCGCGUUGCCUCGAAUUAAGCAACAUGCUCCACCGCUUGUGUGAGCCCCCGUCAAUUCCUUUGAGUUUUAGCCUUGCGACCGUACUCCCCAGGCGGCGCACUUAUCGUUUUUACUUCGACCGAUACCGCGUCAGAGCGGCACCGGUCUAGUGCGCAUCGUUUACGGCGUGGACUAC